AUUGAACGCUGGCGGCAGGCUUAACACAUGCAAGUCGAGCGGGGUGAUGGUGCUUGCACUAUCACUUAGCGGCGGACGGGUGAGUAAUGCUUAGGAAUCUGCCUAUUAGUGGGGGACAACAUCUCGAAAGGGAUGCUAAUACCGCAUACGUCCUACGGGAGAAAGCAGGGGAUCACUUGUGACCUUGCGCUAAUAGAUGAGCCUAAGUCGGAUUAGCUAGUUGGUGGGGUAAAGGCCUACCAAGGCGACUAUCUGUAGCGGGUCUGAGAGGAUAAUCGGCCACGCUGGGACUGAGACACGGCCCCGACUCCUACGGGAGGAAGCAGUGGGGAAUAUUGGACAAUGGGGGGGAACCCUGAUCCAGCCAUGCCGCGUGUGUGAAGAAGGCCUUAUGGUUGUAAAGCACUUUAAGCGAGGAGGAGGCUCUUUUGGUUAAUACCCAAGAUGAGUGGACGUUACUCGCAGAAUAAGCACCGGCUAACUCUGUGCCAGCCGCCGCCGUAA
RNAcentral lists this ribosomal RNA (504 nucleotides) under uncultured bacterium. RNAcentral's name for it is "partial 16S ribosomal RNA". It matches the Rfam family "Bacterial small subunit ribosomal RNA", at positions 30 to 523 of the family's 1533-position model. The record is from RNAcentral.